UGUAGGACUGCGCUGUGGGAAGUCAAGAUUAUAGAAGAAUUACCUGGGAAGGUAAGCCAAAGAGAGUAACAGCCUCGUAUUCGAAAUAGUCUUAAACCCUAGCAGUAUCCUGAGUACGGCGAGACACGAGAAAUCUCGUUGGAAUCUGGGAGGACCAUCUCCCAACCCUAAAUACUCUCUAGUGACCGAUAGUGAACCAGUACCGUGAGGGAAAGGUGAAAAGCACCCCGGGAGGGGAGUGAAAUAGAACCUGAAACCGUGUGCCUACAACAAGUUCGAGCCCGUUAAUGGGUGAGAGCGUGCCUUUUGUAGAAUGAACCGGCGAGUUACGAUAUGAUGCGAGGUUAAGUUGAAGAGACGGAGCCGUAGGGAAACCGAGUCUUAAUAGGGCGAAUUAGUAUCAUGUCGUAGACCCGAAACCAUGUGACCUACCCAUGAGCAGGGUGAAGGUGAGGUAAAACUCACUGGAGGCCCGAACCAGGGCACGUUGAAAAGUGCUUGGAUGACUUGUGGGUAGCGGAGAAAUUCCAAACGAACUUGGAGAUAGCUGGUUCUCUCCGAAAUAGCUUUAGGGCUAGCGUCGAUGUUAAGUCUCUUGGAGGUAGAGCACUGUUUGAUUGAGGGGUCCAUCCCGGAUUACCAAUAUCAGAUAAACUCCGAAUGCCAACGAGAUAUAAUCGGCAGUCAGACUGCGAGUGCUAAGAUCCGUAGUCGAAAGGGAAACAGCCCAGACCACCAGCUAAGGUCCCAAAAUAUAUGUUAAGUGGAAAAGGAUGUGGGGUUGCACAGACAACUAGGAUGUUAGCUUAGAAGCAGCUAUUCAUUCAAAGAGUGCGUAAUAGCUCACUAGUCGAGUGACCCUGCGCCGAAAAUGUACCGGGGCUAAAACAUAUUACCGAAGCUGUGGAUACCUUUUAGGUAUGGUAGGAGAGCGUUCUAUGUGUGAUGAAGGUGUACCGUGAGGAGCGCUGGAACGCAUAGAAGUGAGAAUGCCGGUAUGAGUAGCGAAAGACAGGUGAGAAUCCUGUCCACCGUAUGACUAAGGUUUCCAGGGGAAGGCUCGUCCUCCCUGGGUUAGUCGGGACCUAAGGAGAGACCGAAAGGUGUAUCCGAUGGACAACAGGUUGAUAUUCCUGUACUAGAGUAUAUAGUGAUGGAGGGACGCAGUAGGCUAACUAAAGCGUGCGAUUGGAAGUGCACGUCUAAGCAGUGAGGUGUGAUGUGAGUCAAAUGCUUACGUCUAUAACAUUGAGCUGUGAUGGGGAGCGAAUUUAAGUAGCGAAGUUAGUGAUGUCACACUGCCAAGAAAAGCUUCUAGCGUUAAUUAUACUCUACCCGUACCGCAAACCGACACAGGUAGUCGAGGCGAGUAGCCUCAGGUGAGCGAGAGAACUCUCGUUAAGGAACUCGGCAAAAUGGCCCCGUAACUUCGGGAGAAGGGGCGCUGGCUUUAAGUCAGCCGCAGUGAAUAGGCCCAAGCAACUGUUUAUCAAAAACACAGCUCUCUGCUAAAUCGUAAGAUGAUGUAUAGGGGGUGACGCCUGCCCGGUGCUGGAAGGUUAAGAGGAGCGCUUAGCAUUAGCGAAGGUGUGAAUUGAAGCCCCAGUAAACGGCGGCCGUAACUAUAACGGUCCUAAGGUAGCGAAAUUCCUUGUCGGGUAAGUUCCGACCCGCACGAAAGGCGUAAUGAUUUGGGCACUGUCUCAACGAGAGACUCGGUGAAAUUUUAGUACCUGUGAAGAUGCAGGUUACCCGCGACAGGACGGAAAGACCCCAUGGAGCUUUACUGCAGUUUGAUAUUGAGUAUCUGUACCACAUGUACAGGAUAGGUAGGAGCCUAAGAAGCCGGGACGCUAGUUUCGGUGGAGGCGUUGUUGGGAUACUACCCUUGUGUUAUGGCUACUCUAACCCAGAUAGGUGAUCCCUAUCGGAGACAGUGUCUGACGGGCAGUUUGACUGGGGCGGUCGCCUCCUAAAAGGUAACGGAGGCGCCCAAAGGUUCCCUCAGAAUGGUUGGAAAUCAUUCGCAGAGUGUAAAGG
Molecule: ribosomal RNA, 2040 nt
Filed under: Streptococcus macedonicus
Lineage: Bacteria; Bacillati; Bacillota; Bacilli; Lactobacillales; Streptococcaceae
Description: bacterial LSU rRNA
Rfam family: Bacterial large subunit ribosomal RNA
Source: RNAcentral